RNAcentral lists this ribosomal RNA (249 nucleotides) under Bacillus pumilus. RNAcentral's name for it is "partial 16S ribosomal RNA". It matches the Rfam family "Bacterial small subunit ribosomal RNA", at positions 162 to 404 of the family's 1533-position model. The record is from RNAcentral. Lineage: Bacteria; Bacillati; Bacillota; Bacilli; Caryophanales; Bacillaceae.
GCUAAUACCGGAUAGUUCCUUGAACCGCAUGGUUCAAGGAUGAAAGACGGUUUCGGCUGUCACUUACAGAUGGACCCGCGGCGCAUUAGCUAGUUGGUGGGGUAAUGGCUCACCAAGGCGACGAUGCGUAGCCGACCUGAGAGGGUGAUCGGCCACACUGGGACUGAGACACGGCCCAGACUCCUACGGGAGGCAGCAGUAGGGAAUCUUCCGCAAUGGACGAAAGUCUGACGGAGCAACGCCGCGUGA